RNAcentral lists this ribosomal RNA (1310 nucleotides) under uncultured bacterium. RNAcentral's name for it is "bacterial SSU rRNA". It matches the Rfam family "Bacterial small subunit ribosomal RNA", at positions 47 to 1402 of the family's 1533-position model. The record is from RNAcentral.
CCUAAUACAUGCAAGUCGAACGCGCUUUCUCUUCGGGGAGAGCGAGUGGCGGACGGGUGAGUAACACGUGGAUAAUCUACCUUGAGGUGAGGAAUACCCCCGAGAAAUCGGGGACAAGACCGCAUAUGCUUGUACAAGCAAAGUCACUUUGGUGACGCCUUGAGAUGAGUCUGCGUCCGAUUAGCUAGUUGGUAGGGUAAGAGCUUACCAAGGCGACGAUCGGUAGCUGGUCUGAGAGGAUGAUCAGCCACACUGGGAUUGAGAACGGCCCAGACUCCUACGGGAGGCAGCAGUGAGGAAUUUUCCGCAAUGGACGCAAGUCUGACGGAGCAACGCCGCGUGCAGGACGAAGGUCUUCGGAUCGUAAACUGCUUUUCCCAGGGAAGAGAACGGACGGUACCUGGGGAAGAAGUCCCGGCUAACUACGUGCCAGCAGCCGCGGUAAUACGUAAGGGGGCAAGCGUUGUCCGGAAUUAUUGGGCGUAAAGCGCACGCAGGCGGUCCUGGAAGUUCGAGAUGACAGUCGUCAGCUUAACUGAUGAAGUGCCUCGAAAACUCCAGGACUUGAGAGCGAGAGAGGGAUACGGAAUUCCAGGUGGAGUGGUGAAAUGCGUAGAUAUCUGGAAGAACACCAAUGGCGAAGGCAGUAUCCUGGCUCGUAUCUGACGCUCAGGUGCGAGAGCUAGGGGAGCGAACGGGAUUAGAUACCCCGGUGGUCCUAGCCGUAAACGAUGACCACUAGACGUGGGGGGGAUCGACCCCUUCCGUGUCGUAGCAAACGUGUUAAGUGGUCCGCCUGAGGAGUACGAACGCAAGUUUAAAACUCAAAGGAAUUGACGGGGACCCGCACAAGCAGCGGAGCGUGUGGUUUAAUUCGAUGCAACGCGAAGAACCUUACCAGGCUUUGACAUACUCAUGAUCGCACCAGAGAUGGUGUUCCCUUCGGGGCAUGAGCACAGGUGCUGCAUGGCUGUCGUCAGCUCGUGCCGUGAGGUGUUGGGUUAAGUCCCUCAACGAGCGCAACCCUUACUGGUAGUUACAUAUCUCUACCGGGACUGCCGCGAUCAACGCGGAGGAAGGUGGGGAUGACGUCAAGUCAGCACGGCCCUUACAGCCUGGGCGACACACACGCUACAAUGGCUGGUACAAUGGGGAGCCAACCCGCGAGGGGGAGCCAAUCCUAUCAAAACCAGUCUCAGUUCGGAUUGUAGGCUGCAACCCGCCUGCAUGAAGUUGGAGUUGCUAGUAACCGUGAGUCAGCACAUCACGGUGAAUACGUUCCCGGGUCUUGUACACACCGCCCGUCACAA